GAUGAACGCUGGCGGCGUGCCUAAUACAUGCAAGUCGAGCGAACAGACGAGGAGCUUGCUCCUCUGACGUUAGCGGCGGACGGGUGAGUAACACGUGGAUAACCUACCUAUAAGACUGGGAUAACUUCGGGAAACCGGAGCUAAUACCGGAUAAUAUAUUGAACCGCAUGGUUCAAUAGUGAAAGACGGUUUUGCUGUCACUUAUAGAUGGAUCCGCGCCGCAUUAGCUAGUUGGUAAGGUAACGGCUUACCAAGGCAACGAUGCGUAGCCGACCUGAGAGGGUGAUCGGCCACACUGGAAAGGAGACACGGUCCAGACUCCUACGGGAGGCAGAAGUAGGGAAUCUUCCGAAAUGGGCGAAAGCCUGACGGAGCAACGCCGCGUGAGUGAUGAAGGUCUUCGGAUCGUAAAAAUCUGUUAUUAGGGAAGAACAAAUGUGUAAGUAACUAUGCACGUCUUGACGGUACCUAAUCAGAAAGCCACGGCUAACUACGUG
RNAcentral lists this ribosomal RNA (497 nucleotides) under uncultured bacterium. RNAcentral describes it as "partial 16S ribosomal RNA". It matches the Rfam family "Bacterial small subunit ribosomal RNA", at positions 28 to 507 of the family's 1533-position model. The record is from RNAcentral.